This 253-nucleotide ribosomal RNA is filed under the name uncultured bacterium. Its description in RNAcentral is "partial 16S ribosomal RNA". It matches the Rfam family "Bacterial small subunit ribosomal RNA", at positions 524 to 776 of the family's 1533-position model. The record is from RNAcentral.
UACAGAGGGUGCGAGCGUUAAUCGGAAUUACUGGGCGUAAAGGGUGCGUAGGUGGUUAUGUAAGUUAGAUGUGAAAUUCCUGGGCUUAACCUGGGGACUGCGUCUGAUACUGCAAAGCUAGAGUACUGUAGAGGGAAGUGGAAUUUCCGGUGUAGCAGUGAAAUGCGUAGAUAUCGGAAGGAACAUCAGUGGCGAAGGCGACUUUCUGGACAGAUACUGACACUGAGGCACGAAAGCGUGGGGAGCAAACAGG